UGUAAGCGUAUACCAAAGUUGUUGCAGUUAAAACGCUCGUAGUCGGAAUUUGGCAGUUCCGGAAGUGUGCACGUCGUGUGCGCACUUUGCGGGGACUGCUUUUGUGGUCUUGCGUAGGAUGAGGCACUUUCAUUAGUGAACGUCCUCACGCAACCACUCUUUACUGUGAGAAAAUCAGAGUGCUCAAAGCAGGCAUUUGCCGUGAAUGUAUUAGCAUGGAAUAAUAGAAUAGGACUCGGUUCUAUUUUGUUGGUGUGUUGGGACUGAGUAAUGAUUAAGAGGGACAGUUGGGGGCAUUUGUAUUCCGGCGCUAGAGGUGAAAUUCUUAGAUUGCCGGAAGACAAACUGCUGCGAAAGCGUCUGCCAAGGAUGUUUUCAUUGA
RNAcentral lists this ribosomal RNA (382 nucleotides) under uncultured eukaryote. RNAcentral describes it as "partial 18S ribosomal RNA". It matches the Rfam family "Eukaryotic small subunit ribosomal RNA", at positions 592 to 976 of the family's 1831-position model. The record is from RNAcentral.